UACAGAGGGUGCGAGCGUUAAUCGGAAUUACUGGGCGUAAAGCGCACGUAGGUGGCGACGUAAGUUGGGUGUGAAAGCCCCGGGCUCAACCUGGGAAUUGCAUUCGAGACUGCAUUGCUGGAGUACGGAAGAGGAGGGCGGAAUUCCCGGUGUAGCGGUGAAAUGCGUAGAUAUCGGGAGGAACAUCAGUGGCGAAGGCGGCCCUCUGGUCCAGUACUGACACUCAAGUGCGAAAGCGUGGGGAGCAAACAGG
RNAcentral lists this ribosomal RNA (253 nucleotides) under uncultured bacterium. RNAcentral's name for it is "partial 16S ribosomal RNA". It matches the Rfam family "Bacterial small subunit ribosomal RNA", at positions 524 to 776 of the family's 1533-position model. The record is from RNAcentral.